Molecule: ribosomal RNA, 442 nt
Filed under: uncultured bacterium
Lineage: Bacteria
Description: SSU rRNA
Rfam family: Bacterial small subunit ribosomal RNA
Source: RNAcentral
AGAGCGAACGCUGGCGGCAGGCCUAAUACAUGCAAGUCGAACGCACCUUCGGGUGAGUGGCGGACGGGUGGGUAACACGUGGGAACGUGCCUUUUGGUUCGGAAUAAUCCGGGGAAACCUGGCCUAAUACCGGAUGUGCCCUUCGGGGGAAAGAUUUAUCGCCAUUAGAGCGGCCCGCGUCUGAUUAGCUUGUUGGUGGGGUAAUGGCCCACCAAGGCUACGAUCAGUAGCUGGUCUGAGAGGAUGAUCAGCCACACUGGGACUGAGACACGGCCCAGACUCCUACGGGAGGCAGCAGUAGGGAAUCUUGCGCAAUGGGCGAAAGCCUGACGCAGCCAUGCCGCGUGAAUGAUGAGGGUCUUAGGAUUGUAAAAUUCUUUCAGCGGGAAGAUAAUGACUGUACCCGCAGAAGAGCUCCGGCUAACUUCGUGCCAGCAGCCGC